GAUGAACGCUGGCGGCGUGCUUAACACAUGCAAGUCGAACGGAAAGGCUCCUGCUUGCAGGGGUACUCGAGUGGCGAACGGGUGAGUAACACGUGGGUGAUCUGCCCUGCACUUCGGGAUAAGCCUGGGAAACUGGGUCUAAUACCGGAUAGGACGAUGGUUUGGAUGCCAUUGUGGAAAGUUUUUUCGGUGUGGGAUGAGCUCGCGGCCUAUCAGCUUGUUGGUGGGGUAAUGGCCUACCAAGGCGUCGACGGGUAGCCGGCCUGAGAGGGUGUACGGCCACAUUGGGACUGAGAUACGGCCCAGACUCCUACGGGAGGCAGCAGUGGGGAAUAUUGCACAAUGGGCGCAAGCCUGAUGCAGCGACGCCGCGUGGGGGAGGACGGCCUUCGGGUUGUAAACUCCUUUCGCUAGGGACGAAGCGCAAGUGACGGUACCUGGAGAAGAAGCACCGGCUAACUACGU
RNAcentral lists this ribosomal RNA (465 nucleotides) under uncultured bacterium. RNAcentral describes it as "partial 16S ribosomal RNA". It matches the Rfam family "Bacterial small subunit ribosomal RNA", at positions 28 to 506 of the family's 1533-position model. The record is from RNAcentral.